GACGAACGCUGGCGGCGUGCCUAAUACAUGCAAGUCGAGCGAAGUUUUUCUGGUGCUUGCACUAGAAAAACUUAGCGGCGCACGGGUGAGUAACACGUAAAGAACCUGCCUCAUAGACUGGGACAACUAUUGGAAACGAUAGCUAAUACCGGAUAACAGUAUUUCUCGCAUGAGAGAUAUUUAAAAGUUGGUUAUGCUAACACUAUGAGAUGGCUUUGCGGUGCAUUAGCUAGUUGGUGGGGUAAAGGCCCACCAAGGCGACGAUGCAUAGCCGACCUGAGAGGGUGAUCGGCCACACUGGGACUGAGACACGGCCCAGACUCCUACGGGAGGCAGCAGUAGGGAAUCUUCCGCAAUGGGCGAAAGCCUGACGGAGCAACGCCGCGUGAGUGAAGAAGGAUUUCGGUUCGUAAAGCUCUGUUGUUAGGGAAGAAUGGAUAUGUAGUAACUAUACAUGUAAGAGACGGUACCUAACCAGAAAGCCACGGCUAACUACGUG
RNAcentral lists this ribosomal RNA (499 nucleotides) under uncultured bacterium. Its description in RNAcentral is "partial 16S ribosomal RNA". It matches the Rfam family "Bacterial small subunit ribosomal RNA", at positions 28 to 507 of the family's 1533-position model. The record is from RNAcentral.